This 76-nucleotide transfer RNA is filed under the name Mucispirillum schaedleri ASF457. RNAcentral describes it as "tRNA-Asp". It matches the Rfam family "tRNA". Rfam says of the family: Transfer RNA (tRNA) molecules are approximately 80 nucleotides in length. Their secondary structure includes four short double-helical elements and three loops (D, anti-codon, and T loops). The record is from RNAcentral. Lineage: Bacteria; Pseudomonadati; Deferribacterota; Deferribacteres; Deferribacterales; Mucispirillaceae.
UGGGGGCGUAGUUCAGUUGGUUAGAACGCUGGCCUGUCACGCCAGAGGUCGCGAGUUCGAGUCUCGUCGUCCCCGU